GGGUUCCCGCCUCCCGCAAGAUGGCAGCUGGCGAAGACGGGUUACCGCUGCCGCGGCUCCCCGACCUCUUCGAAAGCGGAGGGCAGCUUCUGGAAGAAGUGGAAGCAGCCACCGAACCCACCGGCUCCCGGAUAGUCCAGGACAAGGUGUCCAAGGGACUGGACCUUCUCCAGAAGGCUGCCGAAAUGUUAUCGCAGCUCGACUUGUUCAGCCGAAAUGAGGACUUGGACGAGAUUGCUUCCACAGACCUGAGGUACCUGAUGGUGCCAGCGUUUCUAGGAGCUCUCACCAUGAGGCAAGUCGACCCCAGCAAACGUCUAGAUCAUUUGCAGCUGGCUCGGGAACACUUUAUAAACUUCUUAACUCAGUGUCAUUACUAUCAUGUGGCAGAGUUUGAGCUGCCCCAAACCAGCAGCAACUCAGCUGAGAAUAACACUGCUAGUUCCUCGGUGGCCUGUCCUAGCCUCGUCGUUAUGGCAUCUCAAAGACAGGCUAAAAUAGAGAGAUACAGGCAAAAGAAGGAGGUGGAGCAUAAGUUGUCUACCCUGAAAUCUGCUGUGGAAAUUGGUCGAGCUGAUGAUGAGUGUGUUCGAGAAUAUUACAUCCUUCACCUUCGGAGGUGGAUUGCUAUCAGCAUAGAAGAGAUUGAGAGCAUUGACCAGGAAAUAAAGAUCCUGAGAGAAAAAGAGUCAUCAAAAGAGGCAUCAACUUCACACUCAUCUCUCCAGGAGAGGCCUCCAGUGAGACCCUUCAUUCUCACUCGAAACAGGGCUCAAGCCAAAGUAUUCGGAGCUGGUUAUCCAAGUCUGGCAUCCAUGACAGUGAGUGACUGGUAUGAUCAGCAUCAGAAAUGUGGAGCAUUGCCAGAUCGCGGAGCAGCCAUGACAACGUCAGAGUUCGGAAGAGCAGCCCAGCAACAGGAAGAACAAGAACAAAAGGAAGAAGACGAUGAUGACCAAACACUCCACAGAGCUCGGGAAUGGGACGACUGGAAGGACACUCAUCCGAAGGGCUAUGGCAACCGACAGAACAUGGGAUAAUCUUCCCACAACACCACAGGACUCCCAGGCCCACAUCUUUCUCACCACGGAAAACUGUGUAGCAGUCUUCCGCUUCCUGGGCUCCUGCUUUAGCUGUGUACAAUGAAACCACAGAGGCUGAAUCUUGCUUUGUAUUUAAUAAAGCGUCAAAUAAUUAAGUGUGUAUUUGUACCCUAGAUGAUGAGCCAGCAAUCUCGUUUUGGUAUUAUUAUCCUCAUCAUGGUGUAUUCCAAUUUCUUAAGUGUAAAGAGCACUUAGAAAUGGCUCUGUAUAAUCAAUGGCUGUAUGAAUUCUCUUUAAAAAAUAAUAAAAGUCCCUCCUAUUAAGUGAACCGGUGCAUAAAUAAAUAAAUAAAUUGUGUAGAGUAGCACAAGUAAUUAAAACAAUACUAUUAAUAUAACCCAACCUGCUGAGCUCCUAACUAAAUUGACACAACUCCUGUAUUGACAAUCUGACCAAAUACUGAUGCUUAUUUCUAUGUGUAAAUAUUGUUUGCCUGCAUCUCUGUUGUUCUUUUAUACAUGUCUGUCAGUCAAAAAGUACAAAACAUGAAUCCUGCAAGAAAAUAAUUACCUGUUAUCAAGAGAUAAACCAGUCCAUGGAACCAGACCCAGGGAUGAAUUAGGCAUUAGAACUAUCUGACAGGAACUUUAAACAUAACUCUGAUUAAUAUGCUAAAUAUUGUGCUGGAAAAUGGGGAUAACUUCAUGAAUAUAUCAGGAAUUUCAAUAGUUGUAGGGUCAAGAAAUGCUGUCAGUUAUGUCUUGCUGUUUUCAAGAUAUACUCUUGAUUUUUCAUAAGUUUGAUUAUGAUGUUUCUA
Otolemur garnettii (small-eared galago) is the source of this 1860-nucleotide RNA transcript. It is a transcript of the gene named immunoglobulin-binding protein 1 pseudogene, with no coding region annotated. Lineage: Eukaryota; Metazoa; Chordata; Mammalia; Primates; Galagidae. The transcript has a single exon. The record is from RefSeq and is a predicted model, not a curated record.